RNAcentral lists this ribosomal RNA (288 nucleotides) under Salmonella enterica subsp. arizonae serovar 18:z4,z23:- str. CVM 32457. RNAcentral's name for it is "partial 23S ribosomal RNA". It matches the Rfam family "Bacterial large subunit ribosomal RNA", at positions 1501 to 1777 of the family's 2925-position model. The record is from RNAcentral. Lineage: Bacteria; Pseudomonadati; Pseudomonadota; Gammaproteobacteria; Enterobacterales; Enterobacteriaceae. RNAcentral also lists the same sequence under 1 other name.
GUUGUCCCGGUUUAAGCGUGCAGGUGUGUGUUCCAGGAAAAUCCGGUUCACUUUAACACUGAGGCGUGACGACGAGGCACUACGGUGCUGAAGCAACAAAUGCCCUGCUUCCAGGAAAAGCCUCUAAGCCUCAGGUAACAUCAGAUCGUACCCGAAACCGACACAGGUGGUCAGGUAGAGAAUACCAAGGCGCUUGAGAGAACCCGGGUGAAGGAACUAGGCAAAAUGGUGCCGUAACUUCGGGAGAAGGCACGCUGACACGUAGGUGAAGCGGUUUACCCGUGAAGC